UGUAGCUCAGUGGUAGAGUGCUUGCCUAACAUGCAUAAGGCCCUGGGUUCCAUUCCCUGCA
This 61-nucleotide transfer RNA is filed under the name Heterocephalus glaber (naked mole-rat). It matches the Rfam family "tRNA", at positions 6 to 65 of the family's 71-position model. From Rfam's summary of the family: Transfer RNA (tRNA) molecules are approximately 80 nucleotides in length. Their secondary structure includes four short double-helical elements and three loops (D, anti-codon, and T loops). Lineage: Eukaryota; Metazoa; Chordata; Mammalia; Rodentia; Bathyergidae. The record is from Rfam by way of RNAcentral.